RNAcentral lists this ribosomal RNA (790 nucleotides) under Salmonella enterica. Its description in RNAcentral is "partial 23S ribosomal RNA". It matches the Rfam family "Bacterial large subunit ribosomal RNA", at positions 2143 to 2925 of the family's 2925-position model. The record is from RNAcentral. Lineage: Bacteria; Pseudomonadati; Pseudomonadota; Gammaproteobacteria; Enterobacterales; Enterobacteriaceae.
AUAGGUGGGAGGCUUUGAAGUGUGGACGCCAGUCUGCAUGGAGCCGACCUUGAAAUACCACCCUUUAAUGUUUGAUGUUCUAACGUGGACCCGUAAUCCGGGUUGCGGACAGUGUCUGGUGGGUAGUUUGACUGGGGCGGUCUCCUCCUAAAGAGUAACGGAGGAGCACGAAGGUUGGCUAAUCCUGGUCGGACAUCAGGAGGUUAGUGCAAUGGCAUAAGCCAGCUUGACUGCGAGCGUGACGGCGCGAGCAGGUGCGAAAGCAGGUCAUAGUGAUCCGGUGGUUCUGAAUGGAAGGGCCAUCGCUCAACGGAUAAAAGGUACUCCGGGGAUAACAGGCUGAUACCGCCCAAGAGUUCAUAUCGACGGCGGUGUUUGGCACCUCGAUGUCGGCUCAUCACAUCCUGGGGCUGAAGUAGGUCCCAAGGGUAUGGCUGUUCGCCAUUUAAAGUGGUACGCGAGCUGGGUUUAGAACGUCGUGAGACAGUUCGGUCCCUAUCUGCCGUGGGCGCUGGAGAACUGAGGGGGGCUGCUCCUAGUACGAGAGGACCGGAGUGGACGCAUCACUGGUGUUCGGGUUGUCAUGCCAAUGGCACUGCCCGGUAGCUAAAUGCGGAAGAGAUAAGUGCUGAAAGCAUCUAAGCACGAAACUUGCCCCGAGAUGAGUUCUCCCUGAGACUUAGAGUCUCCUGAAGGAACGUUGAAGACGACGACGUUGAUAGGCCGGGUGUGUAAGCGCAGCGAUGCGUUGAGCUAACCGGUACUAAUGAACCGUGAGGCUUAACCUUAC